CACGUAGGGUGCGAGCGUUGUCCGGAAUUAUUGGGCGUAAAGAGCUCGUAGGCGGUGUGUCGCGUCGGCUGUGAAAACCCGGAGCUCAACUCCGGGCCUGCAGUCGAUACGGGCAAACUGGAGUGUUGCAGGGGAGACUGGAAUUCCUGGUGUAGCGGUGAAAUGCGCAGAUAUCAGGAGGAACACCGGUGGCGAAGGCGGGUCUCUGGGCAACAACUGACGCUGAGGAGCGAAAGCGUGGGGAGCGAACCGG
This 253-nucleotide ribosomal RNA is filed under the name uncultured bacterium. RNAcentral describes it as "partial 16S ribosomal RNA". It matches the Rfam family "Bacterial small subunit ribosomal RNA", at positions 524 to 776 of the family's 1533-position model. The record is from RNAcentral.